UGCAUGAAGUUGGAAUUGCUAGUAAUCGCGGAUCAGCAAGCCGCGGUGAAUACGUUCCCGGGCCUUGUACACACCGCCCGUCACACCAUGAGAGUCGGGAACACCCGAAGUCCGUAGUCUAACCGCAAGGGGGGCGCGGCCGAAGGUGGGUCCGGUAAUUGGGGUGAAGUCGUAACAAGGUAUC
This 184-nucleotide ribosomal RNA is filed under the name uncultured bacterium. RNAcentral describes it as "partial 16S ribosomal RNA". It matches the Rfam family "Bacterial small subunit ribosomal RNA", at positions 1317 to 1500 of the family's 1533-position model. The record is from RNAcentral.